GCAUCAGUGGUGUAACGGUAACAUUGGAGCUUCCCACGCUUGGGCCCCCCGAAUGGGGUUAACUGCUCUAGCCUCGGGUUCGACUCCCGGCUGAUGCA
This 98-nucleotide transfer RNA is filed under the name Schizophyllum commune. RNAcentral's name for it is "tRNA-Gly". It matches the Rfam family "tRNA". From Rfam's summary of the family: Transfer RNA (tRNA) molecules are approximately 80 nucleotides in length. RNAcentral also lists the same sequence under 1 other name. Lineage: Eukaryota; Fungi; Basidiomycota; Agaricomycetes; Agaricales; Schizophyllaceae. The record is from RNAcentral.